UACGAAGGGGGCUAGCGUUGCUCGGAAUCACUGGGCGUAAAGGGUGCGUAGGCGGGUCUUUAAGUCAGGGGUGAAAUCCUGGAGCUCAACUCCAGAACUGCCUUUGAUACUGAAGAUCUUGAGUUCGGGAGAGGUGAGUGGAACUGCGAGUGUAGAGGUGAAAUUCGUAGAUAUUCGCAAGAACACCAGUGGCGAAGGCGGCUCACUGGCCCGAUACUGACGCUGAGGCACGAAAGCCUGGGGAGCAAACAGG
RNAcentral lists this ribosomal RNA (253 nucleotides) under uncultured bacterium. RNAcentral's name for it is "partial 16S ribosomal RNA". It matches the Rfam family "Bacterial small subunit ribosomal RNA", at positions 524 to 776 of the family's 1533-position model. The record is from RNAcentral.